AAGUCGUAACAAGGUUUCCGUAGUGAUCCUUCGAAGCCUUUCACAUGAACGACUCUAACAGAAUCAUGUGCAGUCCCUUAACCGUUAUCAAGGGCUACGUCACCGAAGUGCUGGAAUACAAAGUUCUGUAAAUCAGCAGCCAAACGGAACUGACCCUCUGUUUGGUUCACAGAUUAGCUAGUGACGGUCAGUGAGCGAUCAAGAGAGAUUCGAGGAAAUAUUGUGGGUUGAAAAUGUUGAGAUUAUAUCAUCCUCUUAGGAGAGAAUCUAAAAAAUCCUUUGAACCCCCAAACCGGGUCUCAACCACAACAUCUUUGCUUCUACAUUUGACCAUAUUUCUUUAGAUCUUGGAAAUAACAUCGCCACCGAUUAAGAUAUAAUCGGUCUCUGUUUUAUUUUAUAGAGACGACACGUUCCGUAGGUGAACCUGCGGAAGGAUCAUUAUCGAGUCAGGGUCCUUUGGGGCCCCAUCUCCAACCCUUGCUUAUUCUACCAUGUUGCUUUGGCGGGCCCGUCCUUAACUGGACCGCCGGGAAUCCACGUUCCCCAGGCCCGUGUCCGCCAGUAGCCCCGAUAAAUUCUUCCUCACAGUGACGUCUAAGUACCAUUGUAAUAACUUAAAACUUUCAACAACGGAUCUCUUGGUNCUGGCAUCGAUGAAGAACGCAGCGAAAUGCGAUAAGUAAUGCGAAUUGCANAAUUCCGUGAGUCAUCGAAUCUUUGACGCACAUUGCGCCCUCUGGUAUUCCGGAGGGCAUGCUGUCGAGCGUCAUAUCACCUCAAGCUCGGCUUGUGCUGGCCACACCGUCGAGAGACGGUGGGUCCGAAAGAUAAUGGCCGAGUCUGGAGGACCCUGGGUGCAGCGAGCUUUUUGGCACGCGUCCAGAGGUGUUCUGGCUUGGUCUUAACCAUCAAUUUUUUCUGGUUGACCUCGGAUCAGGUAGGGAUACCCGCUGAACUUAAGCAUAUCAAUAAGCGGAGGAAAAGAAACCAACAGGGAUUGCCUCAGUAACGGCGAGUGAAGCGGCAACAGCUCAAAUUUGAAAUCUGGCUCCGUAGGGGUCCGAGUUGUAAUUUGGAGAGGAUGCUUCGGGCAAGGCUGCGGUCUAAUUCGCUUGGAACAGCGAGUCACAGAGGGUGAGAAUCCCGUCUAGGAUCGUGGGCCGCGUCCGUGUGAAGCUCCUUCGACGAGUCGAGUUGUUUGGGAAUGCAGCUCUAAAUGGGUGGUAAAUUUCAUCUAAAGCUAAAUAUGGGCCAGAGACCGAUAGCGCACAAGUAGAGUGAUCGAAAGAUGAAAAGCACUUUGAAAAGAGAGUUAAACAGUAUGUGAAAUUGUUGAAAGGGAAGCGCUUGCAACCAGACUUGUGACUGACGGUUCCCCCGGCCUUCUGGCCGGGCUACUCCGUCACGUCCAGGCCAACAUCGGUUUGGGUGGUCGGUGAAAGAUCCCGGGAACGUAUCAACCUUUGGGUUGACUUAUAGCCCGGGGUGCAAUGCGACCCACCCGGACCGAGGAACGCGCUCCGGCUCGGAUGUUGGCGUAAUGGUUGUAAGCGGCC
This 1559-nucleotide ribosomal RNA is filed under the name uncultured fungus. RNAcentral's name for it is "eukaryotic LSU rRNA". The stretch from base 927 to 1559 matches the Rfam family "Eukaryotic large subunit ribosomal RNA", at positions 1 to 649 of the family's 3401-position model. The record is from RNAcentral. Lineage: Eukaryota; Fungi.